RNAcentral lists this unclassified non-coding RNA (400 nucleotides) under uncultured fungus. RNAcentral describes it as "sequence contains ITS1". Lineage: Eukaryota; Fungi. The record is from RNAcentral.
CCGUCAAUUCAUUUAAGUUUCAGCCUUGCGGCCGUACUCCCCAGGUGGAUUACUUAUUGUGUUAACUCCGGCACGGAGGGGGUCAGACCCCCCACACCUAGUAAUCAUCGUUUACGGCGUGGACUACCAGGGUAUCUAAUCCUGUUUGCUACCCACGCUUUCGUGCUUCAGCGUCAGUUAAAGCCCAGUAGGCCGCCUUCGCCACUGGUGUUCCUCCCGAUCUCUACGCAUUUCACCGCUACACCGGGAAUUCCGCCUACCUCUACUCCACUCAAGUCCUGCAGUUUCAAAAGCAGUUCACGGGUUAAGCCCAUGGAUUUCACUUCUGACUUGCAGGGCCGCCUACGCACCCUUUACACCCAGUAAAUCCGGACAACGCUCGCUCCCUACGUAUUACCGC